CUGCGCCGCGUCGCGCUGGUGGAUCAGAACAAGAUCGGCCUCGGGAUUUCGGUGUUCGUUUCGGUGGAAAGCGGCGAUCACUCCGACGCCUGGCUGAAGAAAUUCGCCGAUGCCGUCAGCGCCAUGCCCGAGGUAAUGGAGUUCUACCGGAUGGCGGGCGAUGUCGAUUACAUGCUGCGCGUGGUCGUCGCCGACAUGCAGAGCUAUGACAUCUUUUACAAGAAGCUCAUCAGCGCAGUCGCGCUGA
This 247-nucleotide unclassified non-coding RNA is filed under the name Hevea brasiliensis (rubber tree). The record is from RNAcentral. Lineage: Eukaryota; Viridiplantae; Streptophyta; Magnoliopsida; Malpighiales; Euphorbiaceae.